RNAcentral lists this long non-coding RNA (885 nucleotides) under Ictidomys tridecemlineatus (thirteen-lined ground squirrel). RNAcentral describes it as "lncRNA (ENSSTOG00000034120.1)". The record is from RNAcentral. Lineage: Eukaryota; Metazoa; Chordata; Mammalia; Rodentia; Sciuridae.
CGUCUGUGUUUUAUCUAAAUACAAACAGGCAUCAAAAGGAAAUCUCUUCUAUGGUUGCAACCCCAGAAAAAUGUGCUAAAGCUCAAUCUGAUGUUGAAUCAACACAAAUCUUACCCUUCAAUAUAUUGAAAGUACCCCGGGACCUUUCAAGUCAGCAGAAGAGGAAAGGCCUCCAUGCAGAAUCAACCAAAACCAGCCUGCUCAGAAGCCAGAUGUCCGCCCUCAAGAGCCCACCUAGCAGUGAGAGAAAGGACUGUCUCUCCAAAUCCAGCAGCUGGACCCUUUCUCUGAGUGACAGAGAGAUGAGCAUCCUGCUGACGCAUGAGUAUCCGGACGACAGAUCGUCAGCUAGAUGGACUGGAGAGGGAAGCCAAGUCUACGAUGACAAGUGAGAGCCUUCCUUUGAGGAGGAUAAUUUCAUUAUGCUGUUGUUCAUGACCCAUCGAGACAGAAGUUUUAAAACCCCACAAUCCCCUGUUGUUAGCUUUUCAGAGGUGUCCUCAGAGAGCUGGCUUCAGAUCCACGGCCUGGUGGCCAGGAAGCUCACCAUCAUGGACGCCUUGUCAGGGACCAUGGUGCCCCACAGCCCCACCUACGUCCCCAUCUUGGACAAGCAUGUCUCCUCCAAGGUCUUUGAUGAGGUAACCCGAUGGUCUUCAUGUCGCCGCUUGGGAUAUGUUUAGUUUUCUGUUUAAAUAAAAAUGAACCCAGUGCAGUUUCCUGCAGCUGUAACAAGCAUAUUUCAGCCAUGGGAAGAAAUCGUCCUUAAGGCAGGGACAGGGAAAGAGAGAGGCACUCAAAAGUCCUUGGUUUAAGUUGAGACAGGCGGCGGAGGGCUCGUCCCUCCUGUGGAAGUCCAGAGCUGCAGAAGUGCUUGGAAGCCUA